AGGUGAGCCUUUGGGGAAGUGAUUGGAUCAUAAGGUCUUUGAACAAUCAAUCCAUUGAGGAAUUCAUAGCUGAAUGGACUCUUGGGAAGUGGUAGAAACUGUAAGAGGUUAAAAUACUUGGAGUGAGUCCCUGGGGAUGUGUCCUUGGGGACUGUUAUCUUGUCCUCAGCCCCUUCCUCUUUCUCUGCUUCCUGGCUACCAUGAAGUGAGCAGCUUUGCUUUUCCAUGCCCCCCCUCACCAGGGCAUUCUGCCUUACCACAGACCCACAGCAGUGGGACAAAGCAUCUGUGGACUAAAACCUGAAAUGGCACGUUAUUUUUCUCAGGUAUUUUUGUCAUAGCAACAGAAACCUGAUUAACAACAGGAUCCUAGUACAGGUCUCUUUCUGAAGCAAUAUUCCUUGUGUGUGUGUGCGCCACUAAUGUGUAAUGUCUAAGGAGUUCCUUGGCACAAAGACUCGAUACAUUGUUUUAAAGAGAAUGCAUGAAGUUGGUUACAUAACUCCCAGAAGGUUUAUUAGCGAAUUUGGUGCCAGAAUAAGGUGAGUUAGUGGUAUUCUGACAGCACUGGACAAAUGCAUUCAGUGGAAAUACAUCGUCUUUGCUUCUAUCUAUAAUUUAUAGACCACAGUUAAAUAACAAAUUUCAGCCCAAUAGAAAACUGGGUAAGAGCCUUAACAGUCAUUUCACAAAAGAAGGUAAUUAUAUGUUUUUUAAACAUUUAAAGGUACUCAACUAUCUUAAUCCUUAGAGAAAUGCCAUAAAGCCCCAUUGAGCCACUGUGACACACCCAAAAAAAACUGUUAAAAUUAACCAGAAAGUACCAAAUGUUGAUCAAGAGUUAGCAACUGAAGCAUAUGUUAUUGAUAGGAAUGGAUGUUGUUAUGACCACUUUGGAAAAUUCAAAGUUCAAACAACAGGCAAAACCAAACUAGACUUAGGAAAUAAAGUUACAGAGAGAAGAAAGAAUUGACUGGGGGAUUGUACUUGGGAGGAAAUAAAGGUAUGCUUCCAGGGUUUGGGGCCCUGUUCUGUUUCUUGACUUGUAUGGGGUUGGUGAGGGGCAGGUCACUCACUUAUUGAGCCAUAAAGUUGGGAAAGGUGCCUUUUGGUAUAUUCUGUAUUUCAUGAUUAAAAAGUUUUGAUGAGCUGGGCACAGCAGUGCACACCUGUAAUCCCAGAGGCUCCGGAGGCUGAGGCAGGAGGAUUAAGAGUUUAAAGCUAGCCUCAGAAACAGUGAGGUGCAAGCAACUCAGUGAGACCCUGUCUCUAAAUAAAAU
RNAcentral lists this long non-coding RNA (1280 nucleotides) under Marmota monax (woodchuck). The record is from RNAcentral. Lineage: Eukaryota; Metazoa; Chordata; Mammalia; Rodentia; Sciuridae.